UCUUUAGACCGCUGCGCCGAGCAUCUAAC
RNAcentral lists this small RNA (29 nucleotides) under Bombyx mori (domestic silkworm). RNAcentral's name for it is "ovarian small RNA-30248". Lineage: Eukaryota; Metazoa; Arthropoda; Insecta; Lepidoptera; Bombycidae. The record is from RNAcentral.